GCCACACAUUCCUCAGAGGGAUGGAGAGGAUUUGGAUCCUUCUCACAGAGCAUAAAUAGUAUUAUGAAGAGCCAUUUAAGAAAUGGACAAUGGAAAUGUGGAAUCUGAGUGUGGAGAAGAAAGGCCUGAAGGCAGCAGGAUAAGAUUCUGUAUCUUUGAAUAGAAGACAACCUUUAUGUGCCUCAUGCCUGAUGCUGGUGAGACUUCCCAAUGUCCCUUCCAUGUACCUUCCCUUUACCUAAACUGGCUUAAGGGGAUAUUUGCUUCUUGCAUCGACCAAAUUCUAACUAGGAUGAAAACACCAUGGGCCAUAGCACAAGAAGUGAACCAGAAGUGAAGUUUGGUUUGGGGCUCAGUGCAUGAAGAGUUCUUUGCAAAGAAGCAGUGGAGAGGGUUCGAUCACAACCAACAGAUCUCUACUAUGAGAAUCAAGAGAUAUUUUUUUAUGAGCAUAAUGUCUGGGCUGGACAUGAGUGUGAAGUGGAAGACAAAGCUGAAGUUUCUUUUUAAAUAUUUUAUGAAAAAACAAAACAAAUUUUUAUAACAAAAUAAUAAGAAUAACAAUAGUUAAUACACUGUGUAUCAUUGUCUUCAAAGUAGUUACUCUGAGUGUAAGACAUAGACAAAAAUGAUU
Molecule: non-coding RNA, 634 nt
Organism: Heterocephalus glaber (naked mole-rat)
Lineage: Eukaryota; Metazoa; Chordata; Mammalia; Rodentia; Bathyergidae
Source: RefSeq, a predicted model, not a curated record